RNAcentral lists this ribosomal RNA (412 nucleotides) under uncultured Salpingoecidae. RNAcentral's name for it is "partial small subunit ribosomal RNA". It matches the Rfam family "Eukaryotic small subunit ribosomal RNA", at positions 30 to 432 of the family's 1831-position model. The record is from RNAcentral. Lineage: Eukaryota; Choanoflagellata; Craspedida; Salpingoecidae.
GCUUGUCUCAAAGAUUAAGCCAUGCAUGUCUAAGUAUAAACAACUUUAUACUGUGAAACUGCGAAUGGCUCAUUAAAUCAGUUAUAGUUUAUUUGAUAGUACCUUACUACUCGGAUAACCGUAGUAAUUCUAGAGCUAAUACGUGCGAAAAGACCCGACUUCUCGGAAGGGUUGCAUUUAUUAGAUACAAAACCAAUAAGGGGGGCAACUCUCUUUUACCCAUGGUGAUUCAUAAUAACUUUUGCGGAUCGCAUGGCCUUGUGCCGGCGACGAAUCAUUCAAAUUUCUGCCCUAUCAACUUUCGAUGGUACGGUAUUGGCCUACCAUGGUUACAACGGGUAACGGGGAAUUAGGGUUCGGUUCCGGAGAGGGGGCCUGAGAAAUGGCCACCACAUCCAAGGAAGGCAGCAGG